CCCAGCUGCCGACAUGCCUGCUCAGCGGCAUAUUUAUUUAAACCUGCCGCUGGCCCUGGUGGUGCUGAGCGGGGCCUUGCUGAGGGCCUCCUCAGCUUGUUUGAGAAUCCAUUCACACCUGCGCAUUAAAUUACUGACACUAAUGUUACCAGUAAUGCUUGGACGGGCUCCAGUUUUUAACCCAUAUGGCUGCAGAAGCUGAGAAAUACUGGACACGUUUAAGUGUGUGGAAGAGGAUGGCUGACAGUGUUGCCUCAAGGUGGGGGUGGGUGACACAUUGUUGAAUAUAACUUGGCUGCGGAGAACUCAAUGGCUUUUGAACUUGAGAGGUGUGGAGGCAUGAACACCUGCAACCCCCUAAACCCUCCCCCUAACCCUUUGCUCUCAGGAUACCUUUCACCUUGUCUCACUCUGCAGCACUCAACAAGCGGCUGAGAAGAAAAGGGAAACGAGCAGAGAAAAGAAAGUUUCCAAAGAUGCCUCCCAGGUUGUCAGUUUGGGGUCAGAGGUCUGAGGUCAGCAUGGAGGGGGUAUGUCAGGUGUUAAGUGGAGCAGACAAGCCAAUGGAGAGCUUUUUCGAUGCUUACCGGACAGCGAGCUUACCUGGGGCCAGGUGGGAGCACAAAGCACUCAGCUUUAGAUGGAGGUCACCCAAACAGAAUGGAGAUCAGAAGAAAGUGUUGUCAUCAUGAAGGCAAGAAGUAAAAACAUUUUAUUCUUCAGUGACAGACUGCAGAUCUUGUGCUAUUUAAGUCCAGUCUUAGCCAUAGCUGGCCUGAGGUGUGAAUUCUGUAACUGCACAUGGAUUUUCACAGGACAGAUUUACAGUUGUAUCCAUACCAACAAAAGCUUGCCCAUCAUCUCUUAGGAGUGCUCUUAAUUUCACCCCUUUGCGAUUCCGUACCUUUGCAGUCUUGGUUGUUUUGUGCCUGACUUUUACAGGUGUGAAAUGGAGCCAUCUGCCACAAGACGUUUCGUACCGACUAUGUGUCUAUCUGUACCCUCCAGGGGAAUGUUUUGAACUUGGUUUGGCAGCUGAUUGUUUAAAGUAUUUUUCUGUAUUAUACUCAUAGCUUAUUGUAAGGAAAAAUGGUUUUAUUGCUCCUAUAAAUCAUAUUUACCAGCAGGAAGUUACUUGUAGUUAUUUUGGUUUGAUCAAGGGUUGGUCAAUGGGCCCAAAAAGGAAUCAGAGCCAAUAGGAUGUUACAGCAAGUUUUCAAGAUAUUACAUAAAAUUAAAUAAAAUCAUAUAAGUCUUCUUAUUAUUAUCAAAUUAUCUUGACAAUUUUUGAGGUCUAAGUACAGAGGUACAAAAGUAUGAUAUAUAAGGCAACACAGAUACAGAAUGAGGGAACAGAUUGACAAAUGAGCCAUUCCUGACCCUCCCAAGUGUGCUUCAGAUGGGCUUAGCCGGAAUUAGGCCUCCAAAUUAAUUUCCUCAUUGGGCCUCAUAGAACAAUGGACCGGCUCUGACCUUAGCACUUCUCCUCAUGUUUAUUUUAUGUAUUUUAAUAGAAACUGAAUAGUGACACACUAGCCUUUAAAAUGUGAGACUUUGAUUGGCACUAUAGCCCUAAGAGACAAAAAGAAAGUAAGAAAGAAAGACAAAACAUAUCAAUAAUGAAAACAACUCAUAGUCGACUCAUUUUUCAGACCAUUCAGAUUGUGAGAUGAGCAUGAGGGACGGAAGUGUGAAACUUGAGUUAAAUUGUUAAAAAACCUCAGCUUAAAGCAUAUGAAAAAUUCAUUUUUAGAAAUAAAUGUAAUUGAUUCAAUUGAGACUUUAAUUAUUUUUAGGGAUCUCAGUUAAUUAGUGGUGAUUGAGGAUGUUAAUAGUACUUUUGUUUUCAAUUUUGAUGUCCAAACAUAAACAAUAAACAAAGCAGAUUUCAACAUUA
Long non-coding RNA from Girardinichthys multiradiatus, 1897 nucleotides. RefSeq lists it as uncharacterized. Lineage: Eukaryota; Metazoa; Chordata; Actinopteri; Cyprinodontiformes; Goodeidae. The record is from RefSeq and is a predicted model, not a curated record. The transcript is spliced from 3 exons.